GAUGAACGCUGGCGGCGUGCCUAAUACAUGCAAGUCGAACGCUGGAGAUCUAGCUUGCUAGAUCGAAGGAGUGGCGAACGGGUGAGUAAUACAUAAGCAACCUACCCACGAAGACUGGGAUAAUCUCUGGAAACGGGGACUAAUACCGGAUAGGUAAUCGGAAGGCAUCUUCUGGUUAUUAAAGGUUAAAAACACUGGUGGAUGGGCUUAUGGCGCAUUAGUUAGUUGGUGAGGUAACGGCCCACCAAGACGAUGAUGCGUAGCCGGCCUGAGAGGGUGAACGGCCACAGUGGGACUGAGACACGGCCCAGACUCCUACGGGAGGCAGCAGUAGGGAAUUUUCGGCAAUGGGGGCAACCCUGACCGAGCAACGCCGCGUGAGUGAAGACGGCCUUCGGGGUGUAAAGCUCUGUUGUAAGGGAAGAACGGUAGAUAGAGAAUAUCUAAGUGACGGUACCUUACCAGAAAGCCACGGCUAACUACGUG
Molecule: ribosomal RNA, 486 nt
Filed under: uncultured bacterium
Lineage: Bacteria
Description: partial 16S ribosomal RNA
Rfam family: Bacterial small subunit ribosomal RNA
Source: RNAcentral